This 55-nucleotide transfer RNA is filed under the name Hemidactylus mabouia. RNAcentral describes it as "partial tRNA-Cys". The record is from RNAcentral. Lineage: Eukaryota; Metazoa; Chordata; Lepidosauria; Squamata; Gekkonidae.
CCAAAGUGCAAAUUUGGAAUAGGACCCAGAAAGGGUCCCGGGGCUUCUCCCGUUU